Molecule: ribosomal RNA, 279 nt
Filed under: uncultured bacterium
Lineage: Bacteria
Description: partial 16S ribosomal RNA
Rfam family: Bacterial small subunit ribosomal RNA
Source: RNAcentral
UGCCAGCAGCCGCGGUAAGAGGGAGGGUGCAAGCGUUGCUCGGAAUCACUGGGCGUAAAGCGUACGCAGGCGGCCAAUUAAGUUGGAUGUGUAAGCCCUGGGCUCAACCCGGGAACUGCAUUCAAAACUGGUUGGCUUGAGUGUGAGAGAGGGAAGUGGAAUUCCAGGUGUAGAGGUGAAAUUCGUUGAUAUCUGGAGGAACACCGGCGGCGAAGGCGGCAUCCUGGCUCACAACUGACGCUCAUGUACGAAAGCGUGGGGAGCAAACAGGAUUAGAUA